RNAcentral lists this ribosomal RNA (731 nucleotides) under uncultured bacterium. RNAcentral's name for it is "bacterial SSU rRNA". It matches the Rfam family "Bacterial small subunit ribosomal RNA", at positions 94 to 820 of the family's 1533-position model. The record is from RNAcentral.
AGCGGCGGACGGGUGAGUAAUGCUUAGGAAUCUGCCAUUUAGUGGGGGACAACAUUCCGAAAGGGAUGCUAAUACCGCAUACGUCCUACGGGAGAAAGCAGGGGAUCUUCGGACCUUGCGCUAAAUGAUGAGCCUAAGUCGGAUUAGCUAGUUGGUGGGGUAAAGGCCUACCAAGGCGACGAUCUGUAGCGGGUCUGAGAGGAUGAUCCGCCACACUGGGACUGAGACACGGCCCAGACUCCUACGGGAGGCAGCAGUGGGGAAUAUUGGACAAUGGGCGGAAGCCUGAUCCAGCCAUGCCGCGUGUGUGAAGAAGGCCUUUUGGUUGUAAAGCACUUUAAGCGAGGAGGAGGCUACCUGGAUUAAUACUCUGGGAUAGUGGACGUUACUCGCAGAAUAAGCACCGGCUAACUCUGUGCCAGCAGCCGCGGUAAUACAGAGGGUGCGAGCGUUAAUCGGAUUUACUGGGCGUAAAGCGUGCGUAGGCGGCUGAUUAAGUCGGAUGUGAAAUCCCUGAGCUUAACUUAGGAAUUGCAUUCGAUACUGGUCAGCUAGAGUAUGGGAGAGGAUGGUAGAAUUCCAGGUGUAGCGGUGAAAUGCGUAGAGAUCUGGAGGAAUACCGAUGGCGAAGGCAGCCAUCUGGCCUAAUACUGACGCUGAGGUACGAAAGCAUGGGGAGCAAACAGGAUUAGAUACCCUGGUAGUCCAUGCCGUANACGAUGUCUACUAGC